RNAcentral lists this ribosomal RNA (258 nucleotides) under uncultured soil bacterium. Its description in RNAcentral is "partial 16S ribosomal RNA". It matches the Rfam family "Bacterial small subunit ribosomal RNA", at positions 26 to 287 of the family's 1533-position model. The record is from RNAcentral.
AGAUUGAACGCUGGCGGCAGGCCUAACACAUGCAAGUCGAGCGGUAGAGAGGUGCUUGCAUCUCUUGAGAGCGGCGGACGGGUGAGUAAUGCCUAGGAAUCUGCCUAGUGGUGGGGGAUAACGUUCGGAAACGGACGCUAAUACCGCAUACGUCCUACGGGAGAAAGCGGGGACCUUCGGGCCUCGCGCCAUUAGAUGAGCCUAGGUCGGAUUAGCUAGUUGGUGAGGUAAUGGCUCACCAAGGCGACGAUCCGUAAC